UCUGAGGACACAGAGAAGCGUUAGGUGGAGACGGUUCAUGGUGAUCGCCUCCUGGAAAAGACGCCGUCACUGAUUUCUGUCCAGGCGCCGCUCCACAGACGGACCGAGGACAUCUUUGGCAGCUCCCCGACUGAGCAUAAAUAAAAAAAACUUGACUAAUUUUGUAAAAAUGUUUUACUGAAGGUUUUAUGAUAAAUUUCUUUGUGUGAAUGCAAGCUUUUAUAUUUCCAGUCUAUUGUUCGUUUAUUUACUUAUUCAUAUUCAUAUUUGGCCAAAAAAGAGGGGGGGGGGCAGAAUCGUGCAGAGUUUCAUCUUUUUAAAUAAAAUAUUUCUUUUGUAUGUUUCUGUUUGGUUAUUAAAAGCAUCUGAACGAUCCUGAGAGAUUCCAAAACAUUUUCCACAUCCAAACUUCACUUUUCUGAAUCCUUUUCAUCCCAUCUGUUAAGAAAAUCACUACAGCUGCAGACCGUGUCCAAUAAUCACUUUAGACUUUAACGCAAACACGUUUUCUUGUCAGGAUAAAGGUUUGGAAAUGGAAAAAGGCCACCGUCUCUUUUUAAUUUGUUUAAGCUGAUUUAAGCUUUAAAAUUAGAAUUUCAUUUCCUGUCAUGAGGACUUAUGUUUAAUAUGUUCUUGUAUUACGGUUCUCUUCAUGAAAGAAAUAAUCAGAACAGAUUGAUAAUAUUAAGUUACAACAAUGUUCUCAAAAAUAUGUUCAUUAUUUUCUCACUAAGUCAUUAAAAGUUAGAGAAAUGUUGUUUCUUAGAAAACAAUUCAAAUGAGCGGUUUUUGGUAGUUGACUCACUCGUGUUCAAGUUAGCAUAUUUUAUUAUUUUAACUUUGGCCUCAAAGAGGUUUUUCUAUUAACUUUAAAAAAAAAACUUUUUCUUAUUUGAACAUUUAUUCUUUUAAAAAAAAGAUAUUUUUCAUGUCAAACAUUAUAAAACUAAUGAAAAUCUGCUUGAUUUUAGCCAAAUUCUAAUUUCCAUCUACAGGAUCCUGGCAGGGUCAUGUUGAAGAAAUCAAACAGAUUUUCGGAGGAAGAAAAAACAAAAGAUUAUAAAACACAAGUGUAAAAAAAAGAAAAAUACAGGAUAAAACUAAAUCAAAUGGAACACUUUAAAACCAUCGUCAGUUGAGUAAUAAUGUCUUUUAAAGACGACUAAACUUGGACUUUCUUUGAAUGUAGAUGCUGUUCCAGAAAGUAAGGAGAAUGAAGGGGGGGCCACAGUCACUCUGGAAGGUUUCUGCUGGCAGUCGGCUAACGACUAAAUAUACCGGAUGGGAUCCCUGCAUGUGUCUGUCCCCCUCUGGUCUUCCCUGGGGGGUUCUGCGGCAGACCGAUGCUGACCUGUGAGCUCCAGAGGAGCGCAGAGGGGGCCCUCAGCCGGAGCCAGAGGAGGCAGGCAGGGGUGUUUGGACUCCGACUCCUCCAGACUCUGCACCAGCCGGAUGGAGGCGUUCUGGACAAACUGCACCAGCAGCUGCAGGGGACGUGAUGCAGAGCAGAACCCGGAUUUAGUUAAAGCCGGUCAGUCUGAAUCUGGGAAACGGAGCCAAAGGUUUACCUCUGGUUUGGAGUCCAGCUCAUCAGAAAGCAUGGGUCACCCGGAGUGAAACCUGGAGGAUGGAAAGUAAAGAUUACGUUGUGUUUUUGAAGCGUUAUGAUGACAUAAUAAAUAACAACCAAACCUUGA
This is a long non-coding RNA of Oryzias latipes (Japanese medaka), 1697 nucleotides long. RefSeq lists it as uncharacterized. The record is from RefSeq and is a predicted model, not a curated record. Lineage: Eukaryota; Metazoa; Chordata; Actinopteri; Beloniformes; Adrianichthyidae.